UACGUAGGGGGCAAGCGUUAUCCGGAUUUACUGGGUGUAAAGGGAGCGUAGGUGGCGAUGCAAGUCUGAUGUGAAAACCCGGGGCUCAACCCCGGGACUGCAUUGGAAACUGUGUUGCUAGAGUGCAGGAGAGGUAAGUGGAAUUCCUAGUGUAGCGGUGAAAUGCGUAGAUAUUAGGAGGAACACCAGUGGCGAAGGCGGCUUACUGGACUGUAACUGACACUGAGGCUCGAAAGCGUGGGGAGCAAACAGGAUUAGAUACC
RNAcentral lists this ribosomal RNA (263 nucleotides) under uncultured bacterium. RNAcentral describes it as "partial 16S ribosomal RNA". It matches the Rfam family "Bacterial small subunit ribosomal RNA", at positions 524 to 786 of the family's 1533-position model. The record is from RNAcentral.